GACGGGGCCCGCACAAGCGGUGGAGUAUGUGGUUUAAUUCGAUGCAACGCGAAGAACCUUACCUGGUCUUGACAUCCCGGAGACCCUUAGGAAACUAGGGGGUGCUUCCAUCUGGAAGAAUCUGGAGACAGGUGCUGCAUGGCUGUCGUCAGCUCGUGUCGUGAGAUGUUGGGUUAAGUCCCGCAACGAGCGCAACCCUUGCCUUUAGUUGCCAGCAGUUCGGCUGGGCACUCUAAAGGGACUGCCGAUGUUAAACCGGAGGAAGGUGGGGAUGACGUCAAGUCCUCAUGGCCUUUAUGACCAGGGCUACACACGUACUACAAUGGCCGAUACAAAGGGCAGCGACACUGCGAGGUGAAGCCAAUCCCGUAAAAUCGGUCUCAGUCCGGAUUGGAGUCUGCAACUCGACUCCAUGAAGUUGGAAUCGCUAGUAAUCGUGGAUCAGCAUGCCACGGUGAAUACGUUCCCGGGCCUU
RNAcentral lists this ribosomal RNA (475 nucleotides) under uncultured Desulfobulbus sp. RNAcentral describes it as "bacterial SSU rRNA". It matches the Rfam family "Bacterial small subunit ribosomal RNA", at positions 916 to 1381 of the family's 1533-position model. The record is from RNAcentral. Lineage: Bacteria; Pseudomonadati; Thermodesulfobacteriota; Desulfobulbia; Desulfobulbales; Desulfobulbaceae.